AUUGGUCGUCUUGAAAAAAAACAUAAGGGGUAACACUGUUGUUUUUUAUGGGUCGUCUUGAAAAAAAACAUAAGGGGUAACACUGUCGUUUUUUAUGGGUCGUCUUGAAAAAAAACAUAAGGGGUAACUGUCGUUUUUUAUUGGUCGUCUUGAAAAAAAACAUAAGGGGUAACACUGUCGUUUUUUAUUGGUCGUCUUGAAAAAAAACAUAAGGGGUAACACUGUCGUUGUAGAUGCAUAAAAUGUCAUUGACAACUAUAACUUUCGACCAUAUCAUAGUAAGUGUCUCGGUGGCGCAUGUGAGAGAGCUGUUGGAUAUCAGUUCUGGAGACCUGGGUUCGAGUCCCACCUGACACACUCUCACCUGGAACUCCCUGACACACUCUCACCUGGAAUCCAGGUGGGUGUUCAACAUUUUUGUAGUAAAGUAAAGGAGAAACUUUUAUCAAAACGUCCCCUCCGGGUGUUUGAGCUGUUGAGGAUCUGUUCUGGAGUCAUCGGUCUGACUCCUACGGGGGGGGGUCUUAUGGGAACGACUCUCUGCUGAUUGGGUCCAUUCACUCACACAAUCAUUUCGAAUGACUGUCUGUGGGAAUGGAUGGCUGUGAAUGAGUGCACUCAUUCACAGUCAUCCAUUCUCCCAGACAGUCAUUCCCACUCACCCAUUCAUUCCCAAUGACUGUCAGUGUGAAUCGAUGGCUGUGAAUUAACUGAUUCACAGACACAUCCAUUCACAGAGACAGUCAUUCACACGCAUCCAAUCACCAGAGAGUGAUUCUCACAAAACCCCCAAUUGCAGGAAUCGAACCGGUGUCUCCAGAACAGAUCCUCAACAGCUCUAUCACCUGCGCCACAGAGACACCGACUUAGAAACGGAGAAAGUUCAUUGUUGACCCUACAAUACACAUGACAUUGUUGGAAAAAGUCUCCAAUCCACAGUGAGUGUUCCUGCCAGGACUUGAACCCAGGUCGUAUACACGACUCAAGAACCGAACACAUGCAGCUCUACCCACUGCCCCGCUGAGCCACUGGUUCAGACUUAAUCGGAGUUCAUAAUUGACUUAACAAUUCACAAGAAGCAAUGUCGCGUGAAAUUGAAUGUCAAUUAUAACCUCCAACCACUCAAUAGUAAGUGUCUCGGUGGCGCAUGUGAGAGAGCUGUUGGGUAACAGUCGUGGAGACCGGGGUUCAACUCCCACCUGACACCCUCUCACCUGGGACACACAGACACCCUCCCACCUGCAAUCCAGGUGGGAGUACAACAUUUUGGGUAAACUAUCAGAGCAACGUUUAUCAAAACGUCCCCUCCUCUCGGUAUUUGAGCUGUUGAGGAUCUGUUCUGGAGUCAUCGGUCUGACUCCUACGGUGGGGGGGUCUUAUGGGAACGACUCUCUGCUGAUUGGGUCCAUUCACUCACACAUUCAUUUCGAAUGACUGUCUGUGGGAAUGGAUGGCUGUGAAUGAGUGCACUCAUUCACAGUCAUCCACUCUCCCAGACAGUCAUUCCCACUCGCCCAUUCAUUCCCAAUGACUGUCAGUGUGAAUCGAUGGCUGUGAAUUAAUUGAUUCACAGACACAUCCAUUCACAGAGACAGUCAUUCACACGCAUCCAAUCACCAGAGAGUGAUUCUCACAAAACCCCCAAUUGCAGGAAUCGAACCGGUGUCUCCAGAACAGAUCCUCAACAGCUCUAUCACCUGCGCCACAGAGACACCGACUUAGAAAGGGAGAAAGUUCAUUGUUGACCCUACAAUACACAUGACAUUGUUGGAAAAAGACUCCAAUCCAAGGUGAGUGUUCCUGACAGGAUUUGAACCCAGGUCAUAUUCACGACUCAAGAACAGAACACAUACAGCUCUAUCCACUGCCCCACUGAGCAACUGGUUCAGACUUAAUCAGAGUUCAUAAUUGACUUAACGAUUCACGUCGCGUUAAAUUGAAUGUCAAUUAUAACCUCCAACCACUUAACGAAAAGUGUCUCAGUGGUGUAGUUGUUAGAGCAGGUCACCCUCAUUCUGGAGACAUGGGUUCAAGUCUCUUCAACCACGCUCUCUUCUGAAACCUGAUGUAUUUUGUAUACAACAAAGUAACAUAAAUUAUAAUCCUUAUACCAACCCAAAGAACACCAACAGCUUUACCAACUGAGCAGCUGUGUGUGAUUGUGACGCAGAUUAACAAACUCAAGGAGCUAGGCAAUUAGUGGCUUUCUCCUAUAAUAGGAACAUCUCUUGACUCGUAUUAUUAGAAAACUUGUGAGAAAAAAGGAACAAGACUUAAUUUCACAAGGCUAAAUAAUGAUCAAUAAAAUCGAAAUAUUGACCAGAAUAUGACAUUAUACCACACCUUUCCUGAUAAGUUCCUGAUAGGCUACUGUCCAACUAAUGAAAUGACACAAACUAAACAUGUGCUACCCUAAAAUAUUUUUUUUAAUAGAAAACAUUUAAAUAACUGAAUUUACUGGUUUGAUUAAUUCCGAACUCUGCUUACUGAUUAAAUGUUUGUACUUGUGUGAUUCUUGCACUUGUUGGGUCAUAUCUUCAUGUUGAAUGAGUUUAUGAACUUAUGACAUUGCUUUUGAUAAAAGCGUCAGUGAAAUAAAUGUAAUAAAAAUUUUAAGAAUACAAAUAGGUUUUUCCAGCUUUAAAUGUGAUCUUUAAAUUCUUAGUUAGGCAUAGAUUGUCCCUAAUUUAGAUGAGCUCACAUAAAAAUACAUAGAGUGAAUGACAGAGUGAUGACUCCUUUUUAAUUUCACUGUGUGUAAAAUGUUAUUUUUGCAAACAUGUGACCAAUAAGACUUUGAAUUGAAGUGGUGAUAUUAUGUCACCAGGUGUGUGUGCUUAGCCUCGUCAUGGCUAAUCACACUGACGCCCGGUGGUAAUAUCAACCCUUUAACAAUUGCUUUCUAGCAAGCUGAACAAAACAUGAACUGUAGCAAUAUUCGGUGUUCAUAAAGAACUAAGGUAUUAAAUUGUAAAUCAUUAACAAACCUUAUAAAUAAUAGUAUGAAUCAUCUCAAUAAUCAUUUAUAAAGGAUUAUACAUUUCUCACCACUUCUCUAUGGUUUCAGAGAUACGCUUCUCUGUAUUCCAUUUCCCAGCAUGCUCUGCUCCUCCCAGAGUCACCCAGUGUGUUUGUCUCUCAGGGCUGACCUUUGACCAGUGCCAUAAUGGGUGCCAAGCUAUUGAAGGACUUCAAUAUCGGGGUGAAAUCGACUUCAGUCAAAUGAAGGGCGGAUAAAAAGGCUCAGGUCACAACUGAUCACAAACGGCUGCUCCAAAUACAAGGGUUGAACUGUGUACGUGCGUCAGAUCAUUGGCUGAGGAGGACUGAAGAACCACAGCAAGACCGAGGAAACAUUGUUUAUUUUCCUCCAAUACAAAAAAAGAAAUCACAAAAGGUGUGGGGGCAAAGGCCUUUCAGAUGCGUUUACAAAAACAUACAACAAUUCGUCUGCCUCUCAAAAUUCAUAACAUUGAAAGAAGCUAAUUUAUAGUGUUGUUCCCAUUGGUAAUAUUGAAAAAGGUACACAUUUUCAUUUGGCUUUGUGUGCAAUGCAUUGGGAUUCUCUAUGUGCAUAUUUGUGUGUAUGCAUGUAUUGUGUGUAAAUUACUGCGACAAUACAGCAAACGUGAUAUCAUACUUUUUAUUUUGAGUUUGUGGGUGUGUUGGUUUUAUUUUCAAAUCAAUUGUAAAUUGAACAAAAAAGUGUGACAAACAGUCUUUUGAAUCCUAAUUAAUUGCUACUCUUUCUUUAUCACUUGAGGCCAACUACUGAGUAAAUAUAAUAAUAAAGCAAAGCUAAGCGUUGUUUUUUU
Molecule: long non-coding RNA, 3815 nt
Organism: Gadus macrocephalus (Pacific cod)
Lineage: Eukaryota; Metazoa; Chordata; Actinopteri; Gadiformes; Gadidae
Exons: 2
Source: RefSeq, a predicted model, not a curated record